Long non-coding RNA from Oncorhynchus keta (chum salmon), 1739 nucleotides. RefSeq lists it as uncharacterized. NCBI's taxonomy places the organism in Eukaryota, Metazoa, Chordata, Actinopteri, Salmoniformes, Salmonidae. The record is from RefSeq and is a predicted model, not a curated record. The transcript has 12 exons.
GAGAGAUAGACAGAACAGCCUAGACACUGAGUUAACAGGUAAGGCCUGGGGAGGGAGAGAUAGACAGAACAGCCUAGACACUGAGCUAACAGGUAGGGCCUGGGGAGGGAGAGAUAGACAGAACAGCCUAGACACUGAGUUAACAGGUAGGGCCUGGGGAGGGAGAGAUAGACAGAACAGCCUAGACACUGAGCUAACAGGUAGGGCCUGGGGAGGGAGAGAUAGACAGAACAGCCUAGACACUGAGUUAACAGGUAGGGCCUGGGGAGGGAGAGAUAGACAGAACAGCCUAGACACUGAGUUAACAGGUAGGGCCUGGGGAGGGAGAGAUAGACAGAACAGCCUAGACACUGAGUUAACAGGUAGGGCCUGGGGAGGGAGAGAUAGACAGAACAGCCUAGACACUGAGUUAACAGGUAGGGCCUGGGGAGGGAGAGAUAGACAGAACAGCCUAGACACUGAGUUAACAGGUAGGGCCUGGGGAGGGAGAGAUAGACAGAACAGCCUAGACACUGAGCUAACAGGUAGGGCCUGGGGAGGGAGAGAUAGACAGAACAGCCUAGACACUGAGUUAACAGGUAGGGCCUGGGGAGGGGAGAGGUAGACAGAACAGCCUAGACACUGAGUUAACAGGUAGGGCCUGGGGAGGGAGAGAUAGACAGAACAGCCUAGACACUGAGUUAACAGGUAGGGCCUGGGGAGGGAGAGAUAGACAGAACAGCCUAGACACUGAGUUAACAGGUAGGGCCUGGGGAGGGAGAGAUAGACAGAACAGCCUAGACACUGAGUUAACAGGUAGGGCCUGGGGAGGGAGAGAUAGACAGAACAGCCUAGACACUGAGUUAACAGGUAAGGCCUGGGGAGGGAGAGAUAGACAGAACAGCCUAGACACUGAGUUAACAGGUAGGGCCUGGGGAGGGAUAGAUAGACAGAACAGCCUAGACACUGAGUUAACAGGUAGGGCCUGGGGAGGGAGAGAUAGACUUGUGUGCCUACCUCUGCGUUUGUGUGUGUGUGUUGGGUCGUACCAUCGUGGCAUGCAGUCCCAGUCGUAGGGGAGGUUGUGUGUGUGUGUUGGGUCGUACCAUCGUGGCAUGCUGUCCCAGUCGUAGGGGAGGUUGUGUGUGUGUUGGGUCGUACCAUCGUGGCAUGCUGUCCCAGUCGUAGGGGAGGUUGUGUGUGUGUUGGGUCGUACCAUCGUGGCAUGCUGUCCCAGUCGUAGGGGAGGUUGUGUGUGUGUUGGGUCGUACCAUCGUGGCAUGCUGUCCCAGUCGUAGGGGAGGUUGUGUGUGUGUUGGGUCGUACCAUCGUGGCAUGCUGUCCCAGUCGUAGGGGAGGUUGUGUGUGUGUUGGGUCGUACCAUCGUGGCAUGCUGUCCCAGUCGUAGGGGAGGUUGUGUGUGUGUUGGGUCGUACCAUCGUGGCAUGCUGUCCCAGUCGUAGGGGAGGUUGUGUGUGUGUUGGGUCGUACCAUCGUGGCAUGCUGUCCCAGUCGUAGGGGAGGUUGUGUGUGUGUUGGGUCGUACCAUCGUGGCAUGCUGUCCCAGUCGUAGGGGAGGUUGUGUGUGUGUUGGGUCGUACCAUCGUGGCAUGCUGUCCCAGUCAUAGGGGAGGUUGUGUGUGUGUUGGGUCGUACCAUCGUGGCAUGCUGUCCCAGUCGUAGGGGAGGUUGUGUGUGUGUUGGGUCGUACCAUCGUGGCAUGCUGUCCCAGUCGUAGGGGAGGUUGUGUGUGUGUUGGG